AGUAACGGCGAGUGAAGCGGCAACAGCUCAAAUUUGAAAUCUGGCGCAAGCCCGAGUUGUAAUUUGUAGAGGAUGCUUCUGGGUAGCGGCCGGUCUAAGUUCCUUGGAACAGGACGUCACAGAGGGUGAGAAUCCCGUAUGUGAUCGGCCCGCGCCCUCUACGUAGCUCCUUCGACGAGUCGAGUUGUUUGGGAAUGCAGCUCUAAAUGGGAGGUAAAUUUCUUCUAAAGCUAAAUACCGGCCAGAGACCGAUAGCGCACAAGUAGAGUGAUCGAAAGAUGAAAAGCACUUUGGAAAGAGAGUUAAACAGCACGUGAAAUUGUUGAAAGGGAAGCGCUUGCAACCAGACUUGAUGGCGGUGUUCCCCCGGGCUUCUGCCCGGGUUAUUCACCGUCUUCAGGCCAUCAUCGUCUGGGGCCGCCGGAGAAACCGUCAGGAAUGUGGCUCCCUCGGGAGUGUUAUAGCCUGUCGACAUGCGGCGUGCCCCGGGCGAGGUCCGCGCUUAGGCAAGGAUGAUGGCGUAAUGGUUGUCAGCGGCCCGUCUUGAAACACGGACCAAGGAGUCUAACAUCUAUGCGAGUGUUCGGGUGUCAAACCCCUACGCGUAAUGAAAGUGAACGGAGGUGGGAGCUUCGGCGCACCAUCGACCGAUCCUGAUGUCCUCGGAUGGAUUUGAGUAAGAGCAUAGCUGUUGGGACCCGAAAGAUGGUGAACUAUGCCUGAAUAGGGUGAAGCCAGAGGAAACUCUGGUGGAGGCUCGCAGCGGUUCUGACGUGCAAAUCGAUCGUCAAAUUUGGGUAUA
RNAcentral lists this ribosomal RNA (802 nucleotides) under Uwebraunia dekkeri. RNAcentral describes it as "eukaryotic LSU rRNA". It matches the Rfam family "Eukaryotic large subunit ribosomal RNA", at positions 82 to 919 of the family's 3401-position model. Lineage: Eukaryota; Fungi; Ascomycota; Dothideomycetes; Mycosphaerellales; Dissoconiaceae. The record is from RNAcentral.